AACGAACGCUGGCGGCAGGUCUUAGGCAUGCAAGUCGAACGGGUGUAGCAAUACAUCAGUGGCGCACGAGUGAGUAACGCGUGGGAAUUUGCCCAUCGGUGGGGAAUAACGUUUGGAAACGAACGCUAAUACCGCAUACGUCGAGAAAUCGAGAAAGAUUUAUCGCCGAUGGAUAAGCCCGCGUUGGAUUAGCUAGUUGGUGGGGUAAAGGCCCACCAAGGCAACGAUCCGUAGCUGGUCUGAGAGGACGACCAGCCACACUGGGACUGAGACACGGCCCAGACUCCUACGGGAGGCAGCAGUGGGGAAUUUUGGACAAUGGACGCAAGUCUGAUCCAGCCAUGCCGCGUGCGGGAAGAAGGCCUUCGGGUUGUAAACCGCUUUUGUCAGGGAAGAAAUCUUCUGGGCUAAUACCCUGGGAGGAUGACGGUACCUGAAGAAUAAGCACCGGCUAACUACGUGCCAGCCGCCGCGGUAA
This 478-nucleotide ribosomal RNA is filed under the name uncultured bacterium. RNAcentral describes it as "partial 16S ribosomal RNA". It matches the Rfam family "Bacterial small subunit ribosomal RNA", at positions 29 to 523 of the family's 1533-position model. The record is from RNAcentral.